GUCCCCAUCGUCUAGAGGCCUAGGACAUCGCCCUUUCACGGCGGCAACAGGGGUUCGAAUCCCCUUGGGGACG
This 73-nucleotide transfer RNA is filed under the name Pseudomonadota bacterium. Its description in RNAcentral is "Proteobacteria bacterium tRNA-Glu". It matches the Rfam family "tRNA". Rfam says of the family: Transfer RNA (tRNA) molecules are approximately 80 nucleotides in length. Their secondary structure includes four short double-helical elements and three loops (D, anti-codon, and T loops). Further hydrogen bonds mediate the characteristic L-shaped molecular structure. tRNAs have two regions of fundamental functional importance: the anti-codon, which is responsible for specific mRNA codon recognition, and the 3' end, to which the tRNAs corresponding amino acid is attached (by aminoacyl-tRNA synthetases). tRNAs cope with the degeneracy of the genetic code in two manners: having more than one tRNA (with a specific anti-codon) for a particular amino acid; and 'wobble' base-pairing, i.e. permitting non-standard base-pairing at the 3rd anti-codon position. Lineage: Bacteria; Pseudomonadati; Pseudomonadota. The record is from RNAcentral. RNAcentral also lists the same sequence under 2 other names.